This 94-nucleotide microRNA precursor is filed under the name Vigna radiata var. radiata (mung bean). RNAcentral's name for it is "pre miRNA mir-286". Lineage: Eukaryota; Viridiplantae; Streptophyta; Magnoliopsida; Fabales; Fabaceae. The record is from RNAcentral.
UAAAGAACGUAAUUUGUGUUCAAUUUAGUCCUUUUUACAAACUCCGUGAACCACAAACAAGGACUAAAUUGAACACAAAUUACGUUCUUUAGAA